GCUCAGCACAGAGCCCCAUGCAGGGCUUGAACUCACGAACCACAAGAUCCUGACCUGAGUCAAAGUUGGAUGCUUAACUGACUGAGCCACCCGACAGUGUGGCUUUUUAUAGCAAGAAAUUAGAUUUUUCUGGUGUGAGAAGGUCCUGGAUUCCUGGUGAGUAAUCUGAAUUUCCAGUAGAGAUUUGAGAGUUAGAUCAUAAUCACGCCCUUUCAUUCUGGAAAAUUUAUUUGAAAUGAGAAUGAAAAUGAGCAAAAUUACGGAUGCAUUUUCAAGCAAAGGCAAAAAUAAGAUUACUUCAGUACAUGGGUACAUUUUGCUCAAGUGUGACAAUGGGCAAGGGGUUGGGGGGUAGCUCUAUGGAAACAGAGAGUGAGAACAAGUGGUAUGGUUACUGUAACUACACAAGUUUUCCUGGGAACAGAUUUUUAAAUCCUAUUUUGUGUUCACAUUGGACUUCUGGACUUCUGAGCAGAAUAAAGUAAAAUUCCCUCCAGUGUUGAGGUAAAGGAGAGGUCUCUGCCUCCACUAUUUGGACAGCUGGAACCCCCUCUCUUUAACCUCCUGGAACAGACAGGGUGCCGGCUUCCAGGCCCUGGGAGUAUUGCAUUUCCUCCUGCUCCGCGACUGAGAAAGGUGUGAGGAAAGCCUUUGUUUUAGUCCUUUAGAAGCUAGAAUGACCACAAGCAAAGAGUUGUUGGAUUCAGAGACCACACAAAUGAAAUAACCUGGGCAUUAAAAAAAAAUCAUCUGUGUUUCUGAAGUGGGAAAAAAAUGCUUCAGGUCUCUGUUUAAUUGGUAAGUUCGGACGUGUUUCAAGACGUGCAUUCAUUUACUCAUUCAUUUAAUAAGUAUUUAUUGAAAGCCAACUAUAUGCUGGGUACCAAGCUGGAUGCUCAAAAUAAUAAGAUAAGCAAAAGGAACAAGGUUCUUGCCCUCGCAGGUCUUAUGGCUAGGAGAGACCAAAUAUGGGAAUUCUGUUAGUUCUGAGGUUUAGAGUAGCCACAGUAUAGCACAGGCUGGGAUAGGAGCUGGGAAGAAUUAAAGUCAAUGGGUCAGUUAUACUACGCCACCAUGCAUGAUAGUUUCCCUGGGGACUCAUAGCCUCAAAGGAGACCAGAAAACAGAGGUGAAGUUUCAUGUCCAUGGGGCCUGUGCCCAGAGACUGGCAGAGACUAGAAUCUGAACCUGUAAUAGAAUCCCCAUUUCAGGACCUAGAAUGGGUAGAUGUGACCGCUUUCCAGAAGGAGGCAGAACACUACAGCUACUUGUAGUUGGCGAUUAAGAUACAGGCAGAUAUUGGCCUACAGCAGAGGCAACAUACUCUUUUUUUUUUUUUUUAAGCCACAAUUAUUUAUUCCUAGAAAUGGACUCUGAGGAAAUAAUCAUAGGCGAGUGCAAAGAUUUAUUUACAAGGGUGCUUAAUACAGAUCUCUUUAUAAGUAGGAAAAAGGAGGAAGAAGAACAGGAAGAAGAGUUGAAGGAGAAGGAAGAAAGGGAAAAAAAUGGGAAGAUAUUGAGCACCCCUAUGAGGAUGCAAUUCCAGGAAGACAGGAAUUAUUGUCUAUUUUGUCCACUGUUAUAUCCUCAGUGCCAGAAGAGAUAAUAAAUAGGAUCAGAGAGGUCAUCACAGAUGAUGUCAGGUAUCCAAGUCUGGAAGACUGAAGAACAUUUCAGCAUGCAGACAAAUGUAGAAAGAACACAGUAUAUAAAGAGGAGAUAAACACCAGAUUCCAGAAGGGCACACUGUUGCUCACCUAUACACUGUACCUCGUGCUUGGGGCGAUGAUAUUUUAAGCCUUGGAGAAGGACUUGGAAGUACAGCAGCACCAGCUGGCAGUUAAAACAAAAAUUGCGUUUCUGGAAAAGCGUUCUAGUAUGACUCAAGAAGAUGUGGAACUCUUCGUGCAGCUGCUUGAACAGACUGAGACACAUGGGUCAAAUCUGACCUGAAUGGCCUGUUCGCCCCAGCAGACCCCAGGAUCAAGGUGAGAGAGGCGAGAAGGAAGAACACUGCAGCCUUCUUUUUUCUUUCCACUUCAGGAUGUAUUUACAGAUUCUCAGACCUCUGGACUCAGAUUGCAACUCUACCAGUGGCUCUCCUGGAUGUCUGGCUUGCAACAGCAGACCAUGGGACUUCUCAGCCUCCAUUAUCAAUGUCCCUGCAUAGCUGCAAUUCAGCAACGCCAAAGAAGAAAGGGGAGCCUCCAGUUCCCAGCUAUGUUUUUCCUCUCUGCAUAGCAGUAAUAGUGUCUUCAGUGUUUCCUUACAUGGAUCAAGUGGAAGAAAAAGGAAUCGGAUUGGUCCGUGAGCACUGUUUGGCCUGGGGAAUAGGGUCUUUCUCCAUCCUUAACCUAUCAUGGCCAUAUUUGCUUUAUCAUUUUCAUCUGUUUGGCUUGAAAUAUCUCUGCACUCUUUAUGUUUGGGACUGGAAGGCAAAGAAAAGAAGUUUUGGAGCAGCCCCAUUCCAGUGGAAAUAAAGGACAUUUUGCAGCCUGUCUUCCCAGACAGCCAAAGAGCUCUGAACCCCAAGAUUCUGGAUGCUUCCUGACUUGAGCCUCACAAUCCUCCCAAAGCCAGCGUGAUAUUUCCCCCCAAAACCCCAGCAGCCUGACCACCUCGCCAAAAGUUUAGUAGCCGAGAACUUAAAAAAAAAAAAAAAAAGGAAAAAAAAGGCUACUAUUGCUUAUGUUCCCAACAUCAACCAUUUUACAAACUGCAUUUCAGAAUAUUUGCUAACAUGUUCUGACAAAGAAUAAUAAUUGAUCAGAAGCUCCCCAGCUUGCGUGAAGAACAACAACAAUAAUAGUCAUUGAGAGACUGUUCUGGGUCUUUCUCUCAUGCUAAGGCUCGAGUUUGGUUGUGAUGAAAAGAAAGUCGCUGUAAGAACAUUACGUCUACGUUACUCAGCUCUCACUCAGGAAGCUUAUUAAUCUCAGUGAGUAGAUCUGGCACAACUUUGCAGAACUCUAGAAGUCACGUAGCUGGAGUAGAGGGAGCGAUUCUGUGUAUGUUAUUUCACCACAUUUACAGACCAUAGAAAUAAUGUAGCCGAUCGACAUGCCCUCACUGACAUCUAGUGCUCCGAUUUCUCUCCACCAGCUCUGAUUUGAGAUGGUUUGACUAGUUAAAGCUCGUUGCACAAUGGCUGGUGCUGCAGAGCCGGAAAUGCCAGGUCAGCAACCAAACCACUAAAGUCAUAAGUGCCUGCUGCAUAAAUGCCCAUGUUUCAUCUUUAGCGGGCUUCAAAGUUAAAUAGCGAAGACAGACAAUGCAAAGAAAAAUAUGACUGCGGUAAAACACGGCAACUACACGACGGCUAAAAUUAAGUCUUCAUAUCAAUCAUGCAUUUUUAAUGUGAACAUUUAUGGAAAUCUCUCUUAAUGUUUAGGCAGUAUUUUUCUUCAUUGGUUAUUUAUGAUGCUGUGAGCUGCAAGCACAAGCUAAAUGGGAAAGCCAGAGAGUGGGAUUUGCUUAACAGUCGACAACCUUGUCCUUGUAAAUAAAAAAGAGAAAGCCCAUCAUCUCUUCAAGCGCAUCUUCAUAAAUAAACUUAAAAAGAAAAGC
This is a long non-coding RNA of Herpailurus yagouaroundi (jaguarundi), 3567 nucleotides long. RefSeq lists it as uncharacterized. The transcript has 9 exons. NCBI's taxonomy places the organism in Eukaryota, Metazoa, Chordata, Mammalia, Carnivora, Felidae. The record is from RefSeq and is a predicted model, not a curated record.